RNAcentral lists this long non-coding RNA (4726 nucleotides) under Marmota monax (woodchuck). The record is from RNAcentral. Lineage: Eukaryota; Metazoa; Chordata; Mammalia; Rodentia; Sciuridae.
UGGAGGCCUACCUGGAAGCAGCGUCACUUCCCCGUGGGGGGCGCCCACUCAGCCUGGCCAGCAGCCUGGCCCCGAUGACGGCCGGGCCAGUGGCGCUGUGCCCUGUGAGGGAGCGGGCAGCAUUCCCGCCUUACCCACUGGACUCCAGUCCAGGUGCGGCCUCCAGCCCCCACUGUGACAACCAAAAGGUGCCCAGAAGCCGCCACAUGUCCCUGGAGGCAAUGGCCUCGUGUUGGACACCGCUGGCCCAGGCGGCAGUGAAGGUUCGUGGGGACACGUGUUGGGACACGUGUUAGUCCCCGUAGCCUUUGCGUGUUCCUGUGGGUGUGGGAAAUUCCCAAAAUGAACAGCUCUAAGCUGCACCGCAGCCUGAGUGCGGGCGCCCAGGGCCGGGCCUGCGUGUGACCCUGCCACCUGCCGCCCAGGGUCUAGGACCAGGGUCUCAGCUCCCCGGUCGCUGAGAACCCAGGCACAGGCCUCGCUGUCCGGUUGGCAGACUUCUGACCUCCCCUGGGCAGCGCGCUGGGCCGCGGCCUGGAGACGGGAAACGGGAUUCACUGUGCGUCCUUACGCGGUGCUGGGUGCCCCGGGCCCCUUCCCCACCAUUGCUCCCUCGAUCCUGGAGGGAAUCGGGUUGCCAUCAUUGGCCACUGAAGUGUCACUGAGGCGGGCCCAUGUGCCCCUGGUCAGCUGGCAGAGGUAACAGCAGGGGCCGAGGUGUCCCAGCACAUAGUAGGUGCUCAGUAAGGACCUGCUGCUGGGCCUGUUGUUGUGGACAGUUCCCAUGUCAGAAUUCCCCCAGAGUGAGCCCCCGCAGGAGCCGCAGAGGCCACCAGGUCCCACCAGCAGGAGGGGACAGGGCAGCUGUCCCCCACCAGCCACUGUCCCCUGGAUCAGCCUGUCCUGCUCCCACACAGCCAGCCUGGCCAAGGUGGUGGCGGAGGCAGGCCUCCUCGUGGCCCCGCCUGGGGGUGUGUCCUGGGACACUAGGAGAUAGAGUCACACACUUGGGCACGGCCGUCAGGGGCCACCUUCACCCUGCCCACCUGGCCACCAGGCCUCCACCCCAGGCCCUGGCUCCUGCUGCGUGGAGACCUCUGCCUCUGCCGUCGCCGCACACCGGUGUCUUCCCUGCUGUCCUGUCCCCUGUCUGUCUCUGUCACCGUCACCGUGCCUCUGCCCAGGUCCGUCUCUCCAUCACUGUGUUUGCUUGUCUCUGCCUGUCCCUGUCUCUUGGCCGUCUCUUCCCCAUCUUCCUGUGUCGCACACAUGCCGCGCAUAGGCGCUCUCUUUGUCCCCACCCCCAUCUCAGCUCCUCCGGGGCCUCGCCAAGACCUGGGAGGAAGGAGACAGGGUGACCCGGUGGCCUCCCUCAUGGCAGAAGGAGCAGUGCAGGCUGAGGCGGUUCUGCCGCCAGCCCCUGGGCAGUGCUGGGUACCGCUGCCCUCUGAGCCUGUGUCCUCACCAGGACCAAGUGCCCCACAGGGGGCCCCUCAGGACACACGGGUGUGUCGUAGUCAUGCUCUGAGUCUGCACCUAAGAAGAAAUGAUGGGUCAGUCCCUGCUGGGCUCAAGGUCCACCCUGAAAACAAGACUUCUGAGCUUUACAGGACCGUCCCUAUCUGCUGUCACCCCACGGUGUAGUACCACACCAGGGCUCCUGCCCUAAGUGCCCACGGACGGGCCCCUCCCUGUAGUGACUGCUGUCCUGCCUCCAGGAGUUGAGCCUGGCUGACGCACAGUGUGUCCACACUUCAGGACACCACGGGACCCCGUUUUUAUCUAUGAGUUUAAAGAAAGGGGGCUGGGCGCAACUCCGUGGUCACACUCUUGCCUGCGGGAGACGCUGGGCUCCAUCCCCGGCACCCCAGAAUACCAACAAACACAGGCAGGACUCUUGGGGACAGUGACGAAGUGGGCUGCCUCCUGUGCCUGACAGAGCAGUGAGGUCGGGGAGGCCCAGGGAUAGGUGAGGAAAAGACCCCGGGAGCGAGCGGCCGGGAUGUGGGGGGGGUCAGGCUGGGCGGGGGCUGGGCCAUGUGGACAGCAGCAGCAGGUCCUGGGUUCAGGCACAGAGGGGCAGAUGCCCACGACGCUCAGCUGGAACAGCCCCUCUGGUGCCCAAGAAGCACUUGACCUUGCUCUGCUCACAGUCCAGUCUCCGUGGGGAAAGGAACCACAUCUCCUUAAGCGGUGAACACUUCCAGGUACCUGUUCUGGCAGAUACUGUCACACCUUGUCACAUUGCCAGGCCCACAAAGUUGAGGUCAAAGUUCCUGCUACUUGGGGAGCCCUAAUGAUUAACCCGAGAGCCUCAGGCAGAGGGGGAGAUGCUGGUUUUAAAUGGAGUGAGAUUCGGAGCAGGGAGUGCAGGCUCAGGCCUAGCAUCACAGAGCACCAGCUAUGGGGGCUCUCCUUGGCCCAGAGUGGGGAUCUCGGCCCCUGGCCUCCUUGCCCCUUCUGUCUGGCAGCUCUUGCCUGGGAUGGAGCUGGUCCCAGAGCCCCCAGACAGUGCCCCUUGCAGUGCAGUGCAUGUGGAGGCAGGCAGGAGGGGUUCAGAUGACAGUAGGUGAGUGUUCAGUACUUCAAGAGAGAUGGAAGCUGGGCGCUGUGGCCCACACCUGUAAUCCCAGCAGCUCAGGAGGCUGAGGCAGGAGGAUUGCAAGUCAGAGGCCAGCCUCAGCAAUUUAGCAAGGACCUGAGCAACUUAGCGAGACCCUGUCUCUAAAUAAAAAAUAGAAAGGGCUGGGGAUGUGGCUUGGUUGUUAAGCAUCCUGGGUCCUGGGUUCAAUCCUCAGUACCAAAAAAAAUGGGUGGGGGAGAGAAAUGCCAGCGUGCAGCCAGGACCCUGCUUGUAGGGCUGGCAGUAGCCAUGUUUGUGCUCCCGUGCCUCUGGAGCACCCAGGAGCCAGGCCUUCUGAUUGACAGAUGAGCCACACCUCUUAGUAGCUAAGUAAUCCUGGAGCUUUUAAUUUUUGAGGGUCCAAGUUAGAAUUGCAGUGGUGCUUGAGCUGACUCCUGUGGUGACCGUGGAGUUCAGGUGACCCACGUAAGAGCUGAGUGCAUUUAACACCCAAAGGACAGUUUUACACCAGUGCACGGCGCUCACGGGCUAAUGAGGACAGUUAAGGGAACGUGGACUCAGGAGCAGUGAUAAUGACACCAGCCAGUCUUCACUGAGCACUCUAUCCGCCAAGCGCCUUGCAGCUCUGUGAGGGCAAGAGCUAUCCCACCCUGAUUUCCAGAUGGGAAAACAGAGACACGGAGAGGUUGGUAACCUGGCCAAAGUCACACAGCUAGAAAGGGAGACUUUGCCAUGUGAGGGUCUGGGACACAGUUCCUUGCACUGGAGGAAGGGACUCUGCUGUCAUGUUGGCAGCUCUGUGUGGGGCUUUUGAGGGAAUGUCCAAGUGCAAAUCCGAGAUCCCACUUCUGCUCCCACCGUCAUCUGUCAGGGGAUGGGCAGAUGGGGGGGGAGUGUCCCUGAGGCUUGGCCCCAGGGUCCUCAAUUGCCCCCCAAACUUCACUUCUGGCUCUACUGAGAGCAUCUGGGGAGCUCAGAGCAGGGUUUCUCCCUCUGCCCCUGGCCCGCCCCUCCCCCCACAUGCUUCUCCAGGCCUCUCAGGCUGCUCCCUCACCCCUCACCGGGGCCUCCCCAGCCCUGGGGCCAGGCUUAACUCCUUCCUCCUCCGCCUUUCAUCUCUGAACCACCUGCAGGAGCCAGGCUGCUUCAGGCCCUUGGGACGCGGGACAGCAGAGCUGGGCUCCUGCUCCUGGUGCCACGCACUGGGGGAGAGGGGGAGGAGAGGGUUAUGGGCAGCCGGGAGAUGGGGGGAGGAACCUUCCCGGGAGGUUGGUGGCCGAGGCCUGAAGUGGGCUGCAGAGGCCUGGGCACCGGGCUCUGGCAGCCAAAGGAGCAGCGUCCGGGUCAGUGUGAGGACUCGGCCCUGGAGGCUCCGGAGCACAGUCUGCCCUCAGUCUCACCAGAUGGCUCUGGCAGGGUACGCGUGCUGGGGGCCUGGGCUGGAGCUGCCCAGACGCCAGGUGCGCCAGGGAGGGAGGCCGUGGGCUGGACUCGGUGGAGGUGACGGGACGUUCCUGACUGACCGUGUGGCUGGGGUGGAGCAUCUGCUCAGCAGCACGGGGCCCUGGGUUCCACCCCAGCACUCAGGGGAAGGAGUCCUCAAAGCAGAGCCGUGCGGUGCGCUCGGCCUGUCCCCAGUGGUAAUGGGCGUGAACCCUGCAGGAUGGCCAGCCAGGACACUGACCUCACCCCACCUCCCCAGAUUGAUGUGGGGGUCUCCUGGGGGUCCCUCCCCUGCCUUCGCCCACCUCCCUGUGCUUUGCCUCCGGCUCUUCCUCACGGGGUUCAGGUCUCUGCCACCCCAGUCACGUGGCUGGGCAGCCCCAGCUCUGUGGGCUUCCCCUGUCCCCUUCCCCUCCCUGCGCAGCCCCUGGAAAGCCGAACCUGCCCUCCGCUUCUCAAAUGUCGCCAUUUCAAAAAUGUUCUAUAAAUGGAAUCCUAAGAGCCCGUAACCUUUCGGGAUUGGAUUUUUUCACUCCGUGUAACUCCCUGGAGAUUGAUCCAAGCUGCUGCGUGAACAGGAGUCUGGAUGCUUCUGCAGGUGGAGCCAACAGGGCCUGGGGGAGGAGCAGGCAGUAGGUGGAGAUCAGAGGGUGGAAUGCAGGGCCAGAGGCAUCCAGCCACCAGGCACCAGGGGUGGAG